Non-coding RNA from Ornithorhynchus anatinus (platypus), 85 nucleotides. NCBI's taxonomy places the organism in Eukaryota, Metazoa, Chordata, Mammalia, Monotremata, Ornithorhynchidae. The record is from the annotation of a RefSeq genome assembly.
UACCAGAUGAUCCUCAGGGGUGUGGGGUGCAGGCUUCAAACCUGAAGCUGUGUAGCGACAGAGUGAUUCAAUUCCACCUUUCAGG